CCUACGGGGGGCAGCAGUGAGGAAUAUUGGUCAAUGGACGAGAGUCUGAACCAGCCAAGUAGCGUGAAGGAUGACUGCCCUAUGGGUUGUAAACUUCUUUUAUAUGGGAAUAAAAUGUUCCACGUGUGGGAUUUUGUAUGUACCAUAUGAAUAAGGAUCGGCUAACUCCGUGCCAGCAGCCGCGGUAAUACGGAGGAUCCGAGCGUUAUCCGGAUUUAUUGGGUUUAAAGGGAGCGUAGGUGGAUUGUUAAGUCAGUUGUGAAAGUUUGCGGCUCAACCGUAAAAUUGCAGUUGAAACUGGCAGUCUUGAGUACAGUAGAGGUGGGCGGAAUUCGUGGUGUAGCGGUGAAAUGCUUAGAUAUCACGAAGAACUCCGAUUGCGAAGGCAGUUCACUGGACUGCAACUGACACUGAGGCUCGAAAGUGUGGGUAUCAAACAGGAUUAGAUACCUUAGUAGUC
RNAcentral lists this ribosomal RNA (460 nucleotides) under uncultured bacterium. RNAcentral's name for it is "partial 16S ribosomal RNA". It matches the Rfam family "Bacterial small subunit ribosomal RNA", at positions 338 to 795 of the family's 1533-position model. The record is from RNAcentral.